UAGCUUGGGGCCGAGCGACCUGAGGGGUACGUCCGGGGUAGGAGUGAAAUCCCGUAAUCCCGGACGGACCAUCGGUGGCGAAAGCGCCUCAGGAGAGCGGAUCCGACGGUGAGGGACGAAAGCUAGGGUCUCGAACCGGAUUAGAUACCCGGGUAGUCCUAGCCGUAAACGAUGCUCGCUAGGUGUGGCGCUGGCUACGAGCCAGCGCUGUGCCGUAGGGAAGCCGUGAAGCGAGCCGCCUGGGAAGUACGUCCGCAAGGAUGAAACUUAAAGGAAUUGGCGGGGGAGCACUACAACCGGAGGAGCCUGCGGUUUAAUUGGACUCAACGCCGGACAUCUCACCGGCACCGACUGUAGUAAUGACGGUCAGGUUGAUGACCUUGCCACGAGCUACAGAGAGGAGGUGCAUGGCCGCCGUCAGCUCGUACCGUGAGGCGUCCUGUUAAGUCAGGCAACGAGCGAGACCCGUGUCCCUAAUUGCCAGCAACGCCGCGAGGCGGUUGGGUACAUUAAGGAGACUGCCGCUGCUAAAGCGGAGGAAGGAACGGGCAACGGUAGGUCAGUAUGCCCCGAAUGUGCCGGGCUACACGCGGGCUACAAUGGCCGGGACAGUGGGACGCGACACCGAGAGGUGGA
This 636-nucleotide ribosomal RNA is filed under the name uncultured euryarchaeote. RNAcentral describes it as "bacterial SSU rRNA". It matches the Rfam family "Archaeal small subunit ribosomal RNA", at positions 589 to 1222 of the family's 1478-position model. Lineage: Archaea; Methanobacteriati; Methanobacteriota. The record is from RNAcentral.